Molecule: ribosomal RNA, 506 nt
Filed under: uncultured bacterium
Lineage: Bacteria
Description: partial 16S ribosomal RNA
Rfam family: Bacterial small subunit ribosomal RNA
Source: RNAcentral
GAUGAACGCUAGCUACAGGCUUAACACAUGCAAGUCGAGGGGUAACGAGAGGAAAGCUUGCUUUCCUUGUCGACGACCGGCGCACGGGUGAGUAACGCGUAUCCAACCUGCCCCCAACUAGGGAAUAACCUUGCGAAAGUAAGACUAAUACCCUAUAAUUUCCUCAGAUGUCAUCUGACGAGGAAUAAAGAUUUAUCGGUUGUGGAUGGGGAUGCGUCUGAUUAGCUUGUUGGCGGGGUAACGGCCCACCAAGGCAACGAUCAGUAGGGGUUCUGAGAGGAAGGUCCCCCACAUUGGAACUGAGACGCGGUCGAAAAUCCUACGGGAGGCAGCAGUGAGGAAUAUUGGUCAAUGGGCGGAAGCCUGAACCAGCCAAGUAGCGUGCAGGAUGACGGCCCUAUGGGUUGUAAACUGCUUUUAUACAGGAAUAAAGUUAGCCACGUGUGGUUAUUUGUAGGUACCGUAUGAAUAAGGACCGGCUAAUUCCGUGCCAGCCGCCGCCGUAA